GAAAGUAAAGAAGGGCGCAUGGCGGAUGCCUUGGCUCUCGGAGGCGAUGAAGGACGUGAUAAGCUGCGAUAAGCUUUGGGGAGGUGCAAAUGACCUUUGAUCCAGAGAUUUCCGAAUGGGACAACCCAAUAUCUUGAAGAGGUAUUAUCCAACGUUGUUGGAGGCUAACGCAGGGAACUGAAACAUCUUAGUACCUGCAGGAAAAGAAAAUAAACAAUGAUUCCCCCAGUAGUGGCGAGCGAACGGGGAACAGCCCAAACCAUCCAUGUUACGGCAUGGGUGGGGUUGUAGGACUACGCCGUUGCAUGAAGACAUCAGAGAAGAACUUUCUGGAAAGAAAGACCAUAGAGCAUGACAGUUGCGUAUUCGAAUGUUGUCGAAGCAUAGUAGUAUCCUGAGUAGCGCGGAGCACGAGGAAUUCUGCGUGAAUCUGCCGGGACCAUCCGGUAAGGCUAAAUACUCCCGAGAGACCGAUAGCGAACCAGUACCGUGAGGGAAAGGUGAAAAGCACUUCGAACAGAAGAGUGAAAUAGUUCCUGAAACCGUGCGCCUACAAGCGGUCGGAGCUCGUUAAUGAGUGACGGCGUGCCUUUUGCAUAAUGAACCUACGAGUUGCCUUUGCCGGCAAGGUUAAGUGUGACGACACACGUAUCCGAAGCGAAAGCGAGUCUGAACAGGGCGUAUAGUCGGCAGUGGCAGACGCGAAACCAAGUGAUCUACCCUUGGCCAGGUUGAAGGCUGGGUAACACCAGCUGGAGGACCGCACCAAUAAGCGUUGAAAAGCUUCUGGAUGAGCUGAGGGUAGGGGUGAAAGGCUAAUCAAACUUGGAGAUAGCUCGUACUCCCCGAAAUGCAUUUAGGUGCAGCCUUGCGGGUUACUGAUGUGAGGUAGAGCGACUGAUAAGAUGCGAGGGCUUCACCGCCUAUCAAGUCUUGACAAACUCCGAAUGCGCAUCAGUUCUACCGCAGGAGUGAGGGCAUGGGUGCUAAGGUCCGUGCCCGAGAGGAGAAGAAUCCGGACCACCUGCUAAGGUCCCGAAAUGACAGCUAAGUUAAACUAACGAAGUCUGACUGCUAAGACAGCUAGGAUGUUGGCUUGGAAGCAGCCAUUCAUUUAAAGAGUGCGUAACAGCUCACUAGUCGAGGAGUCGGGCGUGGAUAAUAAUCGGGUAUUAAGUUGUCUACCGAAGCAGUGGGAUCAUUAAUAUGAUCGGUAGGGGAGCAUUCCAGUCAGCGUCGAAGGCGUACCGUGAGGUAUUCUGGAGCGUCUGGAAAAGCAAAUGUAGGUAUAAGUAACGAUAAAGGGGGCGGGAAACCCCCUCGCCGAAAGACUAAGGUUUCCUGAUCAACGCUAAUCGGAUCAGGGUCAGUCGGGUCCUAAGGCUCAGCCGAACGGCGAUGCCGAUGGCAGAAACGGUUAAUAUUCCGUUACUACCUUCAGGAGUGACGUGGAGACGCAGUAGUGACAGUGCCGCCAUCUGACGGAAUAGAUGGUUGAAGGGUGUAGGAGUCGAUCAUGGCAGGCAAAUCCACCAUGAGAUCCGAACCUGACAGUAUGCCGCGUCCUUCGGGACAAGGCAAUAGUGCGCGUAAGCAUGCUGCCGAGAAAAUCCGCUAAACUUAAUCCUGCAGGUACCCGUACCGCAAACGGACACACGUAGUCGGGAUGAAUAUUCUAAGGCGCUUGAGUGAUUCACGGUUAAGGAACUAGGCAAACUGACCCUGUAACUUCGGGAUAAAGGGUCCCUACCCUUUUAUGGGAGGGCGCAGAGAAUCGGUCCAGGCAACUGUUUAACAAAAACACAGGGCUGUGCCAAAUCGAAAGAUCCAGUAUACAGCCUGACACCUGCCCGGUGCUGGAAGGUUAAGAGGAGAUGUCAUCGAUAAGAGAAGCGUUGAAUUGAAGCCCCAGUAAACGGCGGCCGUAACUAUAACGGUCCUAAGGUAGCGAAAUUCCUUGUCGGGUAAGUUCCGACCUGCACGAAUGGUGUAAUGAUCUGGACGCUGUCUCAACCGUGAGCUCAGUGAAAUUGUAGUAUCGGUGAAGAUGCCGAUUACCCGCGAUGGGACGAAAAGACCCCGUGAACCUUUACUAUAGCUUAUCAUUGAAUCUGGGCACGUGAUGUGUAGGAUAGGUCGGAGGCUUUGAAGCAGGUACGCCAGUAUUUGUGGAGCCGCUGUUGAAAUACGACCCUUUAUUUGUUUGGAUUCUAACCCGUGGAACGGGGACAUUGAUUGGUGGGUAGUUUGACUGGGGUGGUCGCCUCCAAAAGCGUAACGGAGGCUUCUAAAGGUGCCCUCCGGCCGAUUGGUAACCGGCCUUAGAGUGUAAUGGCAUAAGGGCGCUUGACUGGGAGACUGACAAGUCGAUCAGGUAGGAAACUAGAGCAUAGUGAUCCGGUGUUUCCGUAUGGAAGGGACAUCGCUCAAAGGAUAAAAGGUACUCCGGGGAUAACAGGCUGAUCCCUCCCAAGAGCUCAUAUCGACGGAGUGGUUUGGCACCUCGAUGUCGGCUCGUCACAUCCUGGGGCUGGAGAAGGUCCCAAGGG
RNAcentral lists this ribosomal RNA (2549 nucleotides) under human gut metagenome. RNAcentral's name for it is "bacterial LSU rRNA". It matches the Rfam family "Bacterial large subunit ribosomal RNA", at positions 1 to 2571 of the family's 2925-position model. The record is from RNAcentral.